UGCCAGCUCUCCCAGGCCCUGAACGGUGUCUCCGACAGACCUAAAGAUGCCAAGGAGUUCCUGGUUCAACUGAAGAACAUGCUUCAGCAGAUACAGGCCAUCAGGCUGCAGAUGGAGGCCCUUCAGCAGCAGUUGAAGAGUGACUGGUCUGUCAGUCAAUGCCAAGCUGAUGAGGGGAAAUUCUGGGCUGAGGAAGAAACUCACAGUUACACCACAGCCCUGUCCAGUGGCCAGUAAAUGUACUGCAGAAACACAUGCUGUUCACCAGCAAGGACAAGAUGGAACUUCUGUCUAACGAGUGCAGCCUGCUGUCUUUCACUAA
Long non-coding RNA from Scatophagus argus, 322 nucleotides. RefSeq lists it as uncharacterized. The record is from RefSeq and is a predicted model, not a curated record. The transcript is spliced from 3 exons. NCBI's taxonomy places the organism in Eukaryota, Metazoa, Chordata, Actinopteri, Scatophagidae.